UACGUAGGGUGCGAGCGUUAAUCGGAAUUACUGGGCGUAAAGCGUGCGCAGGCGGUUUUGUAAGCCAGAUGUGAAAUCCCCGGGCUCAACCUGGGAAUGGCAUUUGGGACUGCAAGGCUAGAGUGUGGCAGAGGAGACUGGAAUUCCUGGUGUAGCAGUGAAAUGUGUAGAUAUCAGGAGGAAUACCGAUGGCGAAGGCAGCCCCCUGGGCUGACACUGACGCUCAGGCACGAAAGCGUGGGGAGCAAACGGG
Molecule: ribosomal RNA, 253 nt
Filed under: uncultured bacterium
Lineage: Bacteria
Description: partial 16S ribosomal RNA
Rfam family: Bacterial small subunit ribosomal RNA
Source: RNAcentral